UCUCCUGAUCCUCUUCAGUCUUCAUUUCUCUUUCUCUCUCUUCAUUUCCUCCUUUCUCUGUAUAGCUUCUUUCGUUCUCUCUUUCACUCCCUCCCGCUGCCUUUGAAUUUAUGUAUUUUGCAGCAUGGCCAGCGAAGAAGCACCAAGAACCUUUGAAGAGCAGAAUGAGUCAAACUUAAUCGGCAAUAGCAUAAACAAAUCUAAUUUUCCCGUUUAUAGUUUUCGCUUGCUUUUCUUUUGAUAUUGCUAUCCUCUGAAUCAUGAUUCACACUCACACAUACAAUAUUUUUCAAUACUUGCAGAUGUCGCCCAACAAUGUGGAAUCUGGGGAAAGUAAUGAAAACUCAUGAGUCGUGAUCCAAUUUGCUUCUUGAUUUUGAUAUGUUCCAUGAUGUUUUUAAUUGUUAGAUUGUUAGUUUUUUCUAUAUGGUCUAUUAAUUACCUAUAGUUGUGUGCACUCGUGUGAAUUUAAUUAGAAAGAUAGUAAAUAAUGUGGACCAAUACUUGACUUCAAAACCAUGUCCCUCUGCAACUAUGUAGACACCAAACAUAUGUCAAUUUUACUUUGACUUGCUUUUGUGUUUUUGUAUGAGGAGUAAUUAAUAUUUUUUGAGGUUUGUAAACAGACAACUGAUGAUACAGAGGUAGUAGGACAACAACAACCUAAUCAUCCAAUACAUAAUAUUGACUUGUAGAUACUCUCUCUGUUGGAACGCCAUGGGGUAAGUAAUGUAAACUCAUGAGUCGUGAUCCGAUCUGCUUCUUGAUUUUGAUAUGUCCCAUGAUGUUUUUAAUUGUUAGAUUGUUAGUUUUUCUUAUGAGGAAGAAUUGAACCCGCAAUCUUGAUGUGUUAGUUUUUUCAAUAUGCUCUAUUAAUUUCCUAUAGUUGUGUGCACUCGUCUAAAUUUAAUUAGAAAACUUACAAUUUGGGUUUGUCAUUAUUUUUCCCAGAAAAUACAAUUGUAGACUAAUAUAGGUUCAUUAUCAUAAUCACUGCUGCUAGCUGGCACAUCAAUUUUUACCCUUGCCAAUUUUUCUACUAUAAGUUUUUUUAUAUUUUCUAUGACACAAAAUUUUCUUAUUUAUUAAUUACUUAGACGAGAUAUUUAUAUAUCUAUUAGUAAUAUUCAUCCAAAUAUCUUAUCCUGAUGAUGGUGUAUAUGAAAAAAUGAAAAUAUCAAAAAAUUAGUGUUUAACUCUCGUCGGAGGAAUACCGAAUUCAUACACAUUAAUAAAGUACAUAGUAUAAUAUCACAAAAUAAACUAUGAUAUGAAUUAUUUGACCCUACAUUGGGGGAAAGAUACGCGGGUUAGGCUAAUUAACGAAGAGUAAUCCAUAACUGGACAGUUAUAGAGUAAUUCUUAAUUAAUUAGUCUAAAAAUUAUCAUUUUGCGUGCAACUAAAAAUUUAACAAAAUCAAUCUCUGAACCACGCUCAGGGUUUCAUUCUGAGCGUUUUGAUAUAUAUAUAUUGCCAACUUUCAAAAACGGGCCCCGACGGGUGCAGAGAAACGCGAGGAACUGGAAUCAUAGAAGCGGCACGCAAACCGAGGCAUGAUUUUAGUAUUCAAAAGGUCAAAUUUUUCUCUCCUUGUGGCUGAGUAUGAAGUCACAUCAAGGGGAAGAGGUGGGCCCCUUUUGCUCCACUCAAAAUGAGACAUGUGGCAUGGCUUUUACAAAAAGGAAAGAGAAAAUCUUUUUAAAAUAAAAGCCAAAUUCUCUCUCUCCAUUCAGAUUUCAGAAAAAAACUUUUCCUCCCCCUUCCCACAUUGCUUUUCUCUUCUUCUUCCUCUCCAUUGAAGCCUCCAUUAAAGCUCCAAAAUUGCUCAUCACUUCUACUCCAAAUUGCAAAAGGAAGCCAUUUUCGGAGUCGUGAAGCACACCUUUACGUUGUGGGGCUUCGAAUUUCAGGUAUGGGUGG
RNAcentral lists this long non-coding RNA (1921 nucleotides) under Glycine max (soybean). RNAcentral describes it as "long non-coding RNA (GMAX_LNC002521)". The record is from RNAcentral. Lineage: Eukaryota; Viridiplantae; Streptophyta; Magnoliopsida; Fabales; Fabaceae.